CAACCUCGGAACCGCAUUUGAAACUGGUGAACUAGAGUGCUGUAGAGGGGGGUAGAAUUUCAGGUGUAGCGGUGAAAUGCGUAGAGAUCUGAAGGAAUACCAGUGGCGAAGGCGGCCCCCUGGACAGACACUGACACUCAGAUGCGAAAGCGUGGGGAGCAAACAGGAUUAGAUACCCUGGUAGUCCACGCCGUAAACGAUGUCUACUUGGAGGUUGUGGCCUUGAGCCGUGGCUUUCGGAGCUAACGCGUUAAGUAGACCGCCUGGGGAGUACGGUCGCAAGAUUAAAACUCAAAUGAAUUGACGGGGGCCCGCACAAGCGGUGGAGCAUGUGGUUUAAUUCGAUGCAACGCGAAGAACCUUACCUACUCUUGACAUCUACAGAAUUCGCUAGAGAUAGCUUAGUGCCUUCGGGAACUGUAAGACAGGUGCUGCAUGGCUGUCGUCAGCUCGUGUUGUGAAAUGUUGGGUUAAGUCCCGCAACGAGCGCAACCCUUAUCCUUGUUUGCCAGC
This 513-nucleotide ribosomal RNA is filed under the name Aliivibrio sp. R8-68. Its description in RNAcentral is "bacterial SSU rRNA". It matches the Rfam family "Bacterial small subunit ribosomal RNA", at positions 610 to 1122 of the family's 1533-position model. The record is from RNAcentral. Lineage: Bacteria; Pseudomonadati; Pseudomonadota; Gammaproteobacteria; Vibrionales; Vibrionaceae.